UUUUUAACAUAUUAAAAUGACACUAACAAGACUAAUCCAGUUUUUGAAUUUUCAGCGAAGCCUUGCGCUACCUUAUCAGUAAGGCCGCCUCGUGAAGGUUCAACCUCUCGAAAGUGCCCAUGAGCGUUGGUACUUAGACGCACGAACUGAACCUCGGAUGCACCAGGUCCAUACGCCACACUCGCCAGUUACGCGUGAGGUUACUAGAGUAGACUGAAGUGAAGGUCACAUGCGAUUUGCGGCCCGCAGCUCGCAGGAAGCCGCAAUCGUAAUCACUUGAGACAUGCCGUUGUUUACUAUUCGCACCUCACGUCCGCGAUUCUGUUUACUACACAGGAUCCUUGCUCGCCGGUGGAUACUUCUUCAAUGCACCCAAAUGCGACAUCACAGUUAGGGUAUUCUAUUACACUGUAUGAGAGGCGGUCAAAAGAUAGAUCUGAUAGUGAUAGCGAUCCACCUAGAGCCGGUUAUAAAAAUCGCACAACUCCCACUCGACGCAAAACCAAACCAAUAUCUUGGGAUCACUCUAUGACGCACGCGUAAAUCAAUCGGUGCACCGACUCACGCGAUUCCCGCGAUUCCCGUGAUUCAAAUGGCAUGCACGAUAACACUGGAUCCCGCCAAUGGCGUCUGGGGUUAGAUGGAUUUAGAUAGCCGGUACAGAUAGAUAUCAUCACGUAACACUCCCACGAUAGUCGGUGCCCUUGAUAUCUGUCGACUUGUCUGAUUCAGCGGGAGCGGCAUAUAAAUCGUAAUAAUCGUGUCUGCGAGUAAGUCCAUGCGGAAGGUACUACAAACGAAAGGACCAACAAGUCUUUCUGGCAUGAUACACAAAUCAGACGUGUUGCUAAUUUAAUUAAGAGAAGCAAUCCAUGAAAAAUAAAUUUUUCCAACGUUCUCUUGUUGCUUAUAACAACGAGCGUUAAAGAGCACUAGUUGAUCUUUCAACGAUCAGGAUCGCAGCUUCUAGGAUACCGGCUUCCUGCAGUUCAAGUUUCCGAUUCUCAAGGAGGAAUUCACAGUGCAGUUUGCUUUUUUAUCUUUG
This is a long non-coding RNA of Anopheles darlingi, 1045 nucleotides long. RefSeq lists it as uncharacterized. NCBI's taxonomy places the organism in Eukaryota, Metazoa, Arthropoda, Insecta, Diptera, Culicidae. The record is from RefSeq and is a predicted model, not a curated record. The transcript has 3 exons.